AUUGAACGCUAGCGGGAUGCUUUACACAUGCAAGUCGAACGGCAGCGCGGACUUCGGUCUGGCGUCGGGGGGCGAACGGGUGAGUAAUGUAUCGGAACGUGCCCAGUAGCGGGGGAUAACUACGCAAAAGCGUAGCUAAUACCGCAUAAGCGCAUCGGGGGAAAGCAGGGGAUCGUAAGACCUUGCGCCAUUGCAGCGGCCGAUAUCGGAUUAGCUAGUUGGUGAGGUAACGGCGCACCAAGGCGACGAUCCGUAGCUGGUUUGAGAGGACGACCAGCCACACUGGAACUGAGACACGGCCCAGACUCCUACGGGAGGCAGCAGUGGGGAAUUUUGGACAAUGGGGGCAAGCCUGAUCCAGCCAUCCCGCGUGUGUGAUGAAGGCCUUCGGGUUGUAAAGCACUUUUGGCAGGAAAGAAACGUAGCGGGCUAAUACCCCGUGGAACUGACGGUACCUGAAGAAUAAGCACCGGCUAACUACGUG
Molecule: ribosomal RNA, 484 nt
Filed under: uncultured bacterium
Lineage: Bacteria
Description: partial 16S ribosomal RNA
Rfam family: Bacterial small subunit ribosomal RNA
Source: RNAcentral